This 139-nucleotide ribosomal RNA is filed under the name uncultured bacterium. Its description in RNAcentral is "partial 16S ribosomal RNA". It matches the Rfam family "Bacterial small subunit ribosomal RNA", at positions 355 to 509 of the family's 1533-position model. The record is from RNAcentral.
UGGGGAAUAUUGCACAAUGGGGGGAAAACCCUGAUGCAGCGACGCCGCGUGAGCGAUGAAGUAUUUCGGUAUGUAAAGCUCUAUCAGCAGGGAAGAAAAUGACGGUACCUGACUAAGAAGCCCCGGCUAACUACGUGCC